CCGAUUAGAGUUUGAUCCUGGCUCAGGAUGAAUGCUGGCGGCGUGGAUAAGGCAUGCAAGUCAAGGGGACCGCAAGGUAACCGGCAGACGAAGUAGUAAUGCGCAGGUACGCACCGAAAAGUCUGGUAUAGCUCGUCGAAAGACGGGGUAAUCCCAGAUGGCACGGCGACGUUAAAGGGGUAACCCGCUUUUUGAGCGGCCUGCGUGGUAUCAGCUAGUUGGUAGUGUAAUGGACUACCAAGGCUAUGACACCUAGGGGGGCUGAGAGGCUGACCCCCACUGAUAGCACUGAGACACGGGCUAUACACCUACGGGUGGCUGCAGUCGAGAAUCUUCCACAAUGGACGAAAGUCUGAUGGAGCGACGCCGCGUGGUUGAUGAAGUCCUUCGGGACGUAAAAACCUUUUAUGAGGGAGGAAGUUAUUGACCGUUA
This 433-nucleotide ribosomal RNA is filed under the name uncultured bacterium. RNAcentral's name for it is "bacterial SSU rRNA". It matches the Rfam family "Bacterial small subunit ribosomal RNA", at positions 1 to 463 of the family's 1533-position model. The record is from RNAcentral.